GACGAACGCUGGCGGCGUGCUUAACACAUGCAAGUCGAACGGAAAGGCCCUGCUUUUGUGGGGUGCUCGAGUGGCGAACGGGUGAGUAACACGUGAGUAACCUGCCCUUAACUUUGGGAUAACUUCAGGAAACUGGGGCUAAUACCGGAUAGGAGCUCCUGCUGCAUGGUGGGGGUUGGAAAGUUUCGGCGGUUGGGGAUGGACUCGCGGCUUAUCAGCUUGUUGGUGGGGUAGUGGCUUACCAAGGCUUUGACGGGUAGCCGGCCUGAGAGGGUGACCGGCCACAUUGGGACUGAGAUACGGCCCAGACUCCUACGGGAGGCAGCAGUGGGGAAUAUUGCACAAUGGGCGGAAGCCUGAUGCAGCAACGCCGCGUGCGGGAUGACGGCCUUCGGGUUGUAAACCGCUUUCGCCUGUGACGAAGCGUGAGUGACGGUAAUGGGUAAAGAAGCACCGGCUAACCACGUG
Molecule: ribosomal RNA, 468 nt
Filed under: uncultured bacterium
Lineage: Bacteria
Description: partial 16S ribosomal RNA
Rfam family: Bacterial small subunit ribosomal RNA
Source: RNAcentral